GACGAACGCUGGCGGCGUGCUUAACACAUGCAAGUCGAACGCUGAAGCCCAGCUUUUGUUGGGUGGAUGAGUGGCGAACGGGUGAGUAGCACGUGAGUAACCUGCCCCCUUCUUUGGGAUAACGCCCGGAAACGGGUGCUAAUACUGGAUAUUCACUGGUCUUCGCGUGGGGGUUGGUGGAAAGGGUUUUUCUGGUGGGGGAGGGGCCCGCGGCCUAUCAGCUUGUUGGUGGGGUGAUGGACUACCAAGGCUUUGACGGGUAGCCGGCCUGAGAGGGGGACCGGGCACGUGAGGACGGAGAUACGGCCCAGAAUCCUGCCGGAGGCAGCAGUGGGGAGUGUUGCAGAAUGGGCGCAAGCCUGAUGCAGCGACGCCGCGUGAGGGAUGGAGGCCUUGGGGUUGUGAACCGCUUUCGCGCAUGGUCAAGCCGCUACAAUGGUUGUGGUGAGGGUAGUGGGUAAAGAAGCGCCGGCUAACUACGUG
This 483-nucleotide ribosomal RNA is filed under the name uncultured bacterium. RNAcentral describes it as "partial 16S ribosomal RNA". It matches the Rfam family "Bacterial small subunit ribosomal RNA", at positions 28 to 507 of the family's 1533-position model. The record is from RNAcentral.